This 253-nucleotide ribosomal RNA is filed under the name uncultured bacterium. RNAcentral describes it as "partial 16S ribosomal RNA". It matches the Rfam family "Bacterial small subunit ribosomal RNA", at positions 524 to 776 of the family's 1533-position model. The record is from RNAcentral.
UACGUAGGGGGCAAGCGUUGUCCGGAUUUAUUGGGCGUAAAGAGCGUGUAGGCGGCCAGGUAGGUCCGCUGUGAAAACUCGAGGCUCAACCUCGAGAGGUCAUCGGAAACCAUCUGGCUAGAGUCCGGAAGAGGAGAGUGGAAUUCCCGGUGUAGCGGUGAAAUGCGCAGAUAUCGGGAAGAACACCUAUGGCGAAGGCAGCUCUCUGGGACGGUACUGACGCUGAGACGCGAAAGCGUGGGGAGCGAACAGG